AUACGUAGGGGGCGAGCGUUGUCCGGAAUGAUUGGGCGUAAAGGGCGCGUAGGCGGCUUUGCAAGUCAGUAGUGGAAGUCCAUUUUUCAAGGAUGGAAGUGCUACAGAAACUGCGGAGCUUGAGUGCAGGAGAGGUUAUCGGAAUUCCCGGUGUAGCGGUGAAAUGCGUAGAGAUCGGGAGGAACACCAGUGGCGAAGGCGGGUAACUGGACUGCAACUGACGCUGAGGCGCGAAAGUGUGGGGAGCAAACAGGAUUAGAUACCCUGGUAGUCCACACUGUAAACGAUGAAUGCUAGGUGUAGGAGGUAUCGACCCCUUCUGUGCCGCAGUAAACACAGUAAGCAUUCCGCCUGGGGAGUACGGUCGCAAGACUAAAACUCAAAGGAAUUGACGGGG
RNAcentral lists this ribosomal RNA (397 nucleotides) under uncultured bacterium. RNAcentral describes it as "partial 16S ribosomal RNA". It matches the Rfam family "Bacterial small subunit ribosomal RNA", at positions 523 to 918 of the family's 1533-position model. The record is from RNAcentral.